AAUGCCAGAUGCCUCUAGUGAGCCACCUUGAAUCACUAUUCUGAAUACAUCUUGAGUAAAAAGAGAAAAUUGCUCAUGUUUCCAUGUCUAUCUGAAUCAUGUUAUUGGACCAUGAGAGCAAGCAGCUGGAUCUCAUUCUGUCCAGGACUCCUGGAAACAGCAGCUCUAACAAAAUUGUCUUCAAUAAAUAAGUUUUUUUGCAUCACAUUUGUGUAUGUCCUGAAUGUUCU
RNAcentral lists this long non-coding RNA (230 nucleotides) under Homo sapiens (human). RNAcentral's name for it is "HSALNT0322171". Lineage: Eukaryota; Metazoa; Chordata; Mammalia; Primates; Hominidae. The record is from RNAcentral.